This 253-nucleotide ribosomal RNA is filed under the name uncultured bacterium. RNAcentral's name for it is "partial 16S ribosomal RNA". It matches the Rfam family "Bacterial small subunit ribosomal RNA", at positions 524 to 776 of the family's 1533-position model. The record is from RNAcentral.
UACGAAGGGGGCUAGCGUUGUUCGGAGUUACUGGGCGUAAAGCGCACGUAGGCGGACAUUUAAGUCAGGGGUGAAAUCCCAGAGCUCAACUCUGGAACUGCCUUUGAUACUGGGUGUCUUGAGUAUGGAAGAGGUGAGUGGAAUUCCGAGUGUAGAGGUGAAAUUCGUAGAUAUUCGGAGGAACACCAGUGGCGAAGGCGGCUCACUGGUCCAUUACUGACGCUGAGGUGCGAAAGCGUGGGGAGCAAACAGG